AAUAGAUACCCCGGUAGUCCACGCUGUAAACGAUGGUCACUAGGUGUUGCGGGUAUCGACCCUCGCAGUGCCGUAGCUAACGCGUUAAGUGACCCGCCUGGGGAGUACGGUCGCAAGACUGAAACUCAAAGGAAUUGACGGGGGCCCGCACAAGCGGUGGAGGAUGUGGUUUAAUUCGACGCAACGCGAAGAACCUUACCAAGGCUUGACAUCCACAGAACCCUCUAGAAAUAGAGGGGUGCCCGCAAGGGAGCUGUGAGACAGGUGGUGCAUGGCUGUCGUCAGCUCGUGUCGUGAGAUGUUGGGUUAAGUCCCGCAACGAGCGCAACCCUCGUGGUUAGUUGCCAACAGGUCAAGCUGGGCACUCUAGCCAGACUGCCGAUGACAAAUCGGAGGAAGGUGGGGACGACGUCAAGUCAUCAUGCCCCUUACGUCUUGGGCUACACACGUCCUACAAUGGCCGGCACAAAGGGCAGCAAGCCAGCGAUGGCAAGCGAAUCCCAAAAAUCCGGCCUCAGUUCAGAUUGC
RNAcentral lists this ribosomal RNA (528 nucleotides) under uncultured bacterium. RNAcentral's name for it is "bacterial SSU rRNA". It matches the Rfam family "Bacterial small subunit ribosomal RNA", at positions 777 to 1301 of the family's 1533-position model. The record is from RNAcentral.